Molecule: unclassified non-coding RNA, 378 nt
Filed under: uncultured Gammaproteobacteria bacterium
Lineage: Bacteria; Pseudomonadati; Pseudomonadota; Gammaproteobacteria
Description: contains 16S-23S intergenic spacer region
Source: RNAcentral
UCCGAGUUGACCCCGGCAGUCUCCUACGAGUCCCCGGCAUAACCCGCUGGCAACAUAGGACAAGGGUUGCGCUCGUUGCGGGACUUAACCCAACAUCUCACGACACGAGCUGACGACAGCCAUGCAGCACCUGUCUCCAGGUUCCCGAAGGCACUCCCGCAUCUCUGCAGGAUUCGACAGAUGUCAAGACCAGAUAAGGUUCUUCGCGUUGCAUCGAAUUAAACCACAUGCUCCACCGCUUGUGCGGGUCCCCGUCAAUUCAUUUGAGUUUCAACCUUGCGGCCGUACUCCCCAGGCGGAGAACUUAACGCGUUAGCUACGACACCGAAGGGCAGACCCCUCCGACAUCCAGUUCUCAUCGUUUAUGGCGUGGACUAC